Molecule: long non-coding RNA, 2441 nt
Filed under: Homo sapiens (human)
Lineage: Eukaryota; Metazoa; Chordata; Mammalia; Primates; Hominidae
Description: non-protein coding lnc-JPH3-3:11
Source: RNAcentral
AAGACGCGAUUGGUCCGCGGAAUCGGAGAGGCGGAAAACCCGGGCUGGAUUUCUGGUUGCUUUUGUUCCCGCAAAUUUGCGUGGAGCAUUGUUUUUCGGCGAAAACGGGGCGUUCGGCCUUCCUGCUUUAUUUUUGAGCGGUGUAAGAGGGAGGUAGUGGGUAUCUUCGAGAAACGGCCGCCGCGGGGUCCGGAGCCCCGGGUUCCAAUCCCGGGUCGGCCACUGCAAAGCUGUGUGACCUUGGGCGAGUCACUUGGCCUCUCUGAGCCCCAGGCGCCUCCCCGGGAAAAAGAGGGUAAUAAUAACCGCCCCCGAGGUUUGUGCGAAGGUGUUGAGCUCACAGAGGGCCGGCACCGGCACUUUUGAGGCGGCUGACUUGCCCUGGGGGUGUGAUGGGAGGUGCAAGCUUUCUCCAAAAGCCUCGUCCAAAUGGAGCCUUUAAAUCCGCCUUCUUUCCGCGGCUACUUCACCAGCUCGCCAAACGCAGAAAAUGCAAACACAGGGGAGGGGGCAAGGGAGCUGACCUGGCUGGAAGUAAACAGAAACGCCACCCUCCCCUGGCACUUGCAUUGGCACCGGAUUGCAGGUGGGGGAAGGGCCGGUGCACCCAACCACCUUUAAAUCCCACCACUUACACACAGGCAUAGAAGUAGAGCCGCGGGGGCUGGACGCUCAUUCCUCCCCUGCCCUUCCCCUAGAGCGCUGCUUUGAAUGUCUGUUGAUCUAGAACGGGGUCUGUUCAUUCAUGGGUUCCAGGUCCCAAGCGCCCGGGGGCAGCUGAGAGCAAAGCUGGCGCCCUCCCUACCCUGUGGAGCUUACACUCUGGUUCUGGGCAGUGCACACUAGAGAUUGGUUAAAUCAAUGAAUGAACUUUUUCAGGAUAUGGUCCAAGGUGCUGAAAACUUCCUAACAAAACUCUUCAGCCGAAUCUGGCACGCCUGUGGUUCCAGCUACUGGGUAGACCGAGGCAGGAGGAUCGCUUGAGGCCAAGAGUUUAAGACCAACCUGGGCAACAUGGUGAGACCCCCCCUCCCCGCCCCAGUCGCUCCAAAACAAACAAACCCCACAUUCUCCAGUCUUAGGUCUUCGAGGAUGAACAGAGAUUGCAGAAAGGCAUGGUUGGGAACAAAAAAAAUUGCUCUCCACUCCCCCAGCCCCCUCCACACCUUGGGCACAUUUCCCUGGAGCUGCCCCAGUGUUCUUUGUCAGUGUAGGAAGAAGCAAAAAUCUAAAUGGAGUCAGGAUGGCCUCCCACAUGGGCACAAGGGCAAGGCUGGGGACAGUUGGGUCUCCUCAUCUUAUUUCCCAGGUCUAGGCUGAUUUCUAUUAAUAAUUAAAUUAAUCGUCGUUGUCCUGGACCUCACUUCUUAAUGUGAUUCCAGGGAACUGGCCACAUUCCAAAAUUCAUAAUCUAAGGUAGUGAAAGAACGUGAACAUCAAGACAGUUUGGCUGGGCUCAGAGGCUCACAUCUGUAAUCCCAGUACUUUGGGAGGCCGAGGGUAGAUCCCUUGAGCCCAGGAGUUCGAGACCAGCCUGGGCAACAUGGCGAAAUCCCAUCUCUACAAAAACUACAAAAAUUAGCCAGAUGUGGUGGCAUGUGCCUGUAGUCCCAGGUACUUGGGAGACUGCAGUGGAAGGAUUGCCCGAGCCCGGGAAAGGGAGGUUGCGGUGAAUGGGGAUCCCGCCACUGCACUCCAGCCUGGGUGACAGCGUAAGACUCUGUCUCAAAAACAAAACAAAACAAAAGAUUCAUUUCUUAUUGAUAAAGCAAGCUCCUUGGAGAAAGAUCUUGGAACCUCAUUAGUGCUGGGGGUGGGGGUGGGGCUUCUUCAAUCCAGCCGAGCUGGCUGUGAAACCCCCAGGCUUUGGUACCAAGUGAGCUCCAGUCCCAGCUGUGGCUGACUGUGUGAACUUGGCUAUGCAUUCAGAGGCCUCUGAGCCUCAGUUUCCUCAUCUGUAGAAGACAGCCAGGAACCCGUCAUCCUGGCUAGCAGUGGAAGUCAAAGGUGCUCAUGGAAAGCCCUUGCUGGCUGGAACAAGGGAGGCCUGAGCUGUGGAAGUCCUUGGAUCAAGGUCCUCCCCACUUCCCGCUGCCUUUUUGGUCCUUCUUGCGUGCUCUUUGUGAUUUAAUGGCUUAGUAGGUUGAAUCAUGUCCCCCCAAAGUUUAUCUCUACCCCAAAUCUCAGAAUGUGACCUUAUUUGGGAAAAGAGUCUUUGCAGAUAUAAUUAAGGUAAGAGUCAAGAUAAAAUCACACUGAAUUAAGGUGAGCCCUACAUGCAAUGAGACUGUCCUUACAAGAUACAGAAAAGAACACAUAGAGACUUCGGGGGAAAGGAGACUAUGUGCAAGAAUGGCAGAGAUUGGAGCCAAGGAGUGCCUGGGCCUACCAGAGGCUGCAAGAGACAGGGAGGACCCUCCCCUAGAGCCUCCAGAGGGAAC